CAAAACUCCGUCUCAAAAAAAGGGGGAAAAAAUGGAUAUUACUUUUCUAGUAAGAAAAAAAGAUGGUUCCUUCAUCAGCUUCAGGCCAAGUUCGAAGUCACUAUGUAGACUGGAGAAUGUGGCGCGAUGUGAAGAGACGAAAAAUGGCCUAUGAAUACGCAGAUGAGAGGCUACGUAUUAAUUCACUCAGGAAGAAUACCAUUUUGCCAAAAAUUCUUCAGGAUGUGGCUGAUGAAGAAAUUGCUGCCCUCCCCCGGGAUAGCUGUCCUGUUAGAAUCAGAAAUCGGUGUGUUAUGACGUCCCGUCCGCGUGGUGUGAAGCGGCGCUGGAGGCUUAGUCGUAUAGUCUUCCGUCACUUAGCUGACCAUGGGCAACUUUCUGGGAUCCAGCGAGCGACAUGGUAAAUGAGCUCCAGAACCUAUUGAGCUUGCAGGGAAGCCAAGCUUGCAGUUCCAGCAAGCAAAGAUUUUUUUUAAUAGACCAAACCCUAAUCUCUACAGGGGCCCAGUACAGUUGUUUGGCCUACCUGAUGCUAUCUCUAAACUACUUUUAAAAUGAAGACAUUUGGGUGUUUCAUGUCAGUGAAUUAUCUUUUCUCUUGGACUUAACAAACAUACUGUUCCCAUACAUAGUACAAAGAGUAGCAUAAUAAAUAUUUUCUGUGAAUGUUUUUUAUACCCUCCUUUUAAGUUUAAUCUUUUAGUAACAUAUAGGGGUUUUUGUAUUAAGAGCAUUAUUUCAUAAAAUGCUAUCUUAUACAUAAUCCAACUAAUUGACAUGUAGCUCAUGUAUGGCAGUUUGUAAUCCUGGACUAGCUUUGCUGACCUGCAGAGCUCCCCUUAACUAUUAUUGUUAGAUAAACAGAUUGGAUAGCAAGGCUGCUGUUCUGGAUUAUCUAAUGCUCCACUUCUUCUUGUGAUGGCUGAACAAAAGAACCACUAAGUGUUUUCUUGUCCAUCCUUAAGGGACUUUAAAACAAAUUAUGCCUCUUUAAGUCCUUGAAAGUCUCCAUCUAAAGAGGAAAAGUUUGUUGGAACAGUAUAUAUUCCCUAUUUUUAUGUUUAUUUAAUCCAUAACAGAAAUGAGUAAGGGUAGCACAAAGUUCUCAUUCAGUAACUCAACAGUGUGAUCAUCAGCCCAGUGAUAAAAAUAUACAUACUGAAUGGAAGUACCUACUUAACAUCAGGAAAAUAUUCCUGGAGAACUUAAUAAAUCAGGAGGUGAGGGGUGAGAUUUUUUUCUGCACACAGAGGGAACAAAAGCACAAAGAAGCAAAGGCACUCUGUAGCAUCAGAGAACCACAGUCACUUCAGUAGAUCAGAAAUAUGAAGCACAAGACAAGGCCCGUAUUGUGGAGGAUCUCACAAAUCAUGUGAAGGAAUUAAGACUGACAUACCAGGUAUUACAGAGUUUUAAGCACAGGAAUGACAUCAUCAGUUUGUAAUACAGGUAAGUGACAGCUGUGUGGCAGAUGGCCAUGAGAGGAAAAAGCUACAGGCAAGACAACCAGUUAGGAGGAUGUCUUAGUUGUUGAGGAAGAUGAAGGCCUGAACUAACAUUGUGGUAUUAGUAGAGGAGAGAGGACAGAUUUUUAAAGUUUUAGGAAAGAAAAUUGGGCAAGACUUACAAGACUGAUUAUAUCUAAGAGGUAAAGAUGGUUCUCUGGGUUCCUGAUAAAAGUGUCUAGAUAGAUGGUAGAGGGCAAUUCCAAGAGGGCAACUCCAAGAUAGAAAAUUUGGAAAAAGAACAAAUUUAGGGGAAACAGAAGAUAAGCGAGUUCAGGUUCCAGUCAUGCGGUGUUGGAGAUGCCUGUGUCAUCUGAUGAAGACUAGUACGCAGCUGGAUAGCAGAGUCCGAAACUCAGGUGGAGGUGAAGUUAUGAGGGAAUUAUCACAAUCUAGUUUGGAUUCAUAUUUCUUAAAUAUGUAUGACAACUUACCAACUGGAAUGUUCUAGCUAAUAUCUCAACUUAGAAUCCAUCUCACUACCAAUGGGCAAACACUUGUGUUCUAAAGUUACUUGCAAGUAGUUUAUACUGCCAACUUGAUAUAUAUACAUGCUAUAGUUUGAACAUUUUGUGUACUUCCAAAAUUCACAUUAAAAUCUAAUCCACAAUGCGUUGGUAUUAUUAAGAGGUGGGGCCCUUAGGGGUGAUUAGGCCAGGAGGGCUCCACACUCAUGGAUGGGAUCAGUGCCUUUCUAAGAGGGCUUGAGGGAGAGAGUUUGUCCCUUUUACCCUUCUGAUACUGCGAGAAGGCACCGUACUGGAAGCAGAAAGCAAGCCCUUACCAAACACCAAUCUGCUGGUGCCAAAUCUUAGACUUCUCCAGCCUCCAGAAGUGCAAGAAGUAAAUAUUAUUUAUAAAUUCUUAGUCUAUGGCAUUUUGUUACAGCAGCAGGAAUAGACUAAGACAAUGUGUUGAUAGGUUUAGGGUCAUGUUUUACUUUUUCAGUCAUGUUAAAUUUUAGAUGGUUCUAAAGUCAAAACUCUAGAAAAAGUUAAAUUCACAGAAUAGCUUCCAUCCUCAUCUCCUUCCUUCCCCUGCUAACAAUUUUUAUUAGCUUUGGGUUUACUCGUUUCUUUUUGAAACAUAAGCAAAUACACCUAUGUGCAUACAUUCACAUUUCUCACCCUUUCUUACACAAAUGUAGUGGGUAUACCAUAAAUGUUCUGCACUUUGCUUUUCCACUUACUCUAUCCUGGAGACCAUUUUACGUUAUAUAGAACUCUUCAUUGUUUUGUGACUUAAGUACUCCCUCAUGUGGAUGCACCAUAAUACAUUCCUGUUAAAUAGACACGAGUAUUUUUAAUCUUUUGCAUAUAGCAUUCCAAAUUUUUCUAAAUGUACCUUUCAGAGCCCAGAAAGAAGUUAAAAUUCUGGGUCAAAGGAUAAAUGAAUAUGUCAUUCUGAUGGUUAUUACCAAAUACUCUUUCUGAGACAAGAGUCUUACUCUGUCACCCAGGCUGGAGUGCAGUGGCACAAUCUCAGCUCACUGCAACCUCUGCCUCCCGGGUUCCAGUGAUUCUCGUCCCUCGGCUUCCCAGGUUCAAGUGAUUCUUGUCCUUCAGUCUCCCGAGUAGCUGGAGUUACAGGCAUCUGCCACCAUGCCCAGCUAGUUUUUUUUAUUUUCAGUAGAGACAGGGUUUCACCAUGUUGGCCAGAUGGUCUUGAACUCCUGACCUCAAGUGAUCCGCCCACCUUGGCCUCCCAAGGUGUUGGGAUUACAGGUGUGAGCCACUGCACCUGCCCAAAUAUUCUUGUUAACCAAAGUUUAACUUUUGCAUUCCAUUCCCAUAUAUGUGUCCUUAUUUCUCCACAGCCUCAACUCAAUACAGUUGUUUUUAUACUUCUUUUUCAAGUGAAAGGUAAAAACACUGGUUUAUUCUCUUCUGAACAAGGUGAGCAUCUUUACAUGUUAA
Molecule: long non-coding RNA, 3421 nt
Filed under: Homo sapiens (human)
Lineage: Eukaryota; Metazoa; Chordata; Mammalia; Primates; Hominidae
Description: HSALNT0017846
Source: RNAcentral